GAAAUAAUAUAUGGGAAAGUUAUAAUCUGGCCAAGUUGAUAGUAAAAUAGGACAGCAUUACAGAGUAAUACUGUUGGAAACGUUGCUCCAAUCUGGCAACAGCGGGCUUGUGGAGUUGACAAGAUUUGCUGGCGGUGAGUGUUAUAACAAGCGCGAGGAGGAGAUUAGCUGCCGAGUGUUCGUGAUCCUGCCAACGUGAACAUUAUGAGCCAUUCUGUGGAGUAACAGAAUGGCUGUCGAAGCUGUCCACUGCAACCUGAGUCAGAAUGGAAUCGAUCAUCAGGUGUGUAUGGCGGAUGCGAGCUCACACGUGGAAGAGGUGUCUGUAGAUCAGGACCCAGGACUGGACGAUGACAGCUUGGGCUUUCAGCAGUAUAGUCCUGGUUUCCAGCGCUGUACUCCACCACAGCGCUCCGUCUCCGAAUCUGAACUCUCCAAGCCAGGGACAGUAAAACUCUCCAAACCAGUGGCUUUGUGGACUCAGCAGGAUGUGUGUAAGUGGCUGAAGAAGCACUGCCCAAACCAGCACCACAUCUACAGUGAUGCCUUCAAACAGCACGAUAUUACAGGUCGAGCUUUGAUGCGGCUGACAGAUAGGAAGCUGGAGAGGAUGGGUAUCAUGCAGGAGAGCCAGAGGCAGUACAUCCUGCAACAGGUCCUGCAGCUCCGUGUCAGAGAGGAGGUCCGCACCCUGCAGCUCCUUACACAAGCGCUCCCAGACUGAUGCCGCUUGGCUGACGGUGACACUUUUCUCCGCUGAUAGGAGGUGAUGAGCCGCAGACAUUUCAGAGAAGGAAGGAAGCAAGCAAGUCGUCAUGGUGACACUCAGUCCCCAGAGCCCCGUGCACUCUUGCCUCAUUGGAGAGCUCUCCAUAACCUGAGCAGUCCCAGAGACCCACCAGUCACCACAUGACCGUCCGAGUGUCUUCGCGAAUGUCGGCAGCACACACCAGCCUUCCUGCCCAAACUGAGUCACCUCGAGCCCUGGAUCAAACCCUUGUGUCCCUUCCUUUUCUCUUUCCCUCUCCCUUGCCCAUACUCCGUCCCCAUCCCACCCCCUCCAAAUACCACCCCUGAAGACAUUUCUUCUUCUUCUUCUUCUUCCUGUGCCAACUGGAACAUCUCUGAAUUGGACCACCGAUAUUCUUCUUGCUAAAAGGACAAUUGGCAUUGAGAGACUAAUUAACUGGCCAAUUAGUCCACUCACUGUAUGUCAUUUUACCAAGUGUAGCACUUUACCUUUCCUGUAGAGAGUCUGUUCGCUAUGCUACACUCUUCAGACCAGCAUAAUGUUCAGGCACACACAUUAGAUCUUCUAGUCACUGCAGUAGGGCUACUUGUCACUUUUUUUCUACUUUUACAUCUUUUUUCUUACUCCAUAUCUUUUUUUUGUGACUUCGCCUCUCUAUAGAGGGACUGCGUAGAGACGUUUUGCACAUCUGUAUAUUAUGUGUGCCUCAUGUUUAUUCCUGUAAGUCUGUUGUCUCUUUCUGUAUCUUGUGAGCUUGUCCUCUCUCUGUUUUUCUAUCUGUCCUCUAUGUCUGAGUUCCCUCUGAUUUCCUGUACGACUCAUCCUUCCUUCCCUUAAUCUGAAGUACACUGUGACUCUGA
Neoarius graeffei (lesser salmon catfish) is the source of this 1611-nucleotide RNA transcript. It is a transcript of the gene named sterile alpha motif domain containing 12, with no coding region annotated. Lineage: Eukaryota; Metazoa; Chordata; Actinopteri; Siluriformes; Ariidae. The record is from RefSeq and is a predicted model, not a curated record. The transcript is spliced from 6 exons.